Molecule: microRNA precursor, 102 nt
Filed under: Marmota monax (woodchuck)
Lineage: Eukaryota; Metazoa; Chordata; Mammalia; Rodentia; Sciuridae
Source: RNAcentral
AGAGCAAUGGCUAGAUCAUAUGACAGUUGCAUGUUUAGUUUUGUAAGAAGUUGCCAAACUGUUUCCAGAGUGACUGUGUCAUUUUACAUCCCCCCCAGCAAU